AAAGCUUCUACUAAAUAUACGCAUUAUUUGAGCAAAACUACGAAGAUAUAGUUAAUUCUUGAAAUCUAUUAAUGCAAGUUUGCAAAUGUUU
Molecule: long non-coding RNA, 91 nt
Organism: Bombus impatiens (common eastern bumble bee)
Lineage: Eukaryota; Metazoa; Arthropoda; Insecta; Hymenoptera; Apidae
Exons: 3
Source: RefSeq, a predicted model, not a curated record